RNAcentral lists this long non-coding RNA (1194 nucleotides) under Piliocolobus tephrosceles (Ugandan red Colobus). RNAcentral's name for it is "lncRNA (ENSPTEG00000005300.1)". The record is from RNAcentral. Lineage: Eukaryota; Metazoa; Chordata; Mammalia; Primates; Cercopithecidae.
ACGUUAGAAAAAGAUGAUUUGCUAAAACUGAUUUAUCUUUUUGUUACGAUACCUGGUGAAGUAUUGGAAAAAAUCAAUUUAUAUACUUACGGAUAUACGAAGCUAUCUGAAUUAAUUCAAGAAGCAAGUACACCAAACGAUGAUGCAGAUAUUCUAUUAGAGGUGAAAAAUAUACUCUCAAUCAAGAUAAAUAGAAAGAUACUAAAAGAAAAAAAUAAUAUGGUCCAAUUUAAUGUCGCUUUGUAUAAAGGACUGAUUAAAUCUGCAAUUAUAAAGCAAUCUGAGGCUGAUGAAAAUUUUGAGGAUCAUGUGGGCGAUUAUAUUAAGAGUAAUAACACGUGUAAUAGUGAUUAUUACACAAACAAUGGAUUAGUAUUAUCAAUGGAUAAUAUGUUAACAUAUAACAGAUCAGACUUCAUAUACACGUCUGACUCGAUAUUUAUGAAAAUAAAAACAAAUGAUAUAUAUGCCUUUAACAAUUUAUAUUUAUUCGAACAUAAAAAUGAUGCACAGGAAAAGUUUUUGCAAGCGAUAUUAGUAUUAUCAAAUGAUAAUGUACUAGCUAUAGAUAAAAUAUUUUAUGUUGCAUUAAUAGCAAAUUCGUUAGAUAAUAAGAACCAACUUGUAUUAAGCUGUUAUGCAGAUAAAAAAUAUGAUUCAUCAGUGGCUUUGAAAGCAUAUAAUUUAGAAGAAAGAACAACAUAUUUUGUUUGUAAAAGCGUACCUGUAAAAGAUUUAAAAAAUGGAUUGUAUGAAUUUCAUAAGUAUUACAUGAGGUAUUACGACAGUUCAACCCACAAAAAUAUAUAUGAAAGUAUGCCAAUAAGACCAAUAUACGAAGUUCAAAAUAAUAAUGUGCACGUAUCAGAUGUAAAAUGUAAUAAUGUAAUAGUAAAAAUAGAAAAAUCGGAGGUAGUAAAUUCAUUUGUUAACUAUUUGAUAAAUGUUAGUGGUUCUAUCAAGAUGCAUGUAAACCCAUAUGUAGCAAUCACGCCUAUUUUUAAGCCGGAACAUUAUCAACGUAUUAUCGGUAAUGUAUAUAGCCAUGACGAUUUUAUUAAUAGCAUGUAUUCAAGGAAAUUACGAUUAUUAGAGUAUAAAGAUAUAUGUUCAGGACAAAUUCUAUAUAACACUGGAUUGGUGAAGUUGUUGAAAACAGAAAUAAACAGAAACGUGUCUGGUAUAGACGAGUAU